AUCCGGCUGACGAGCCCCAAAUAGGACGAAGUGGCGCGCACCCUGGAU
RNAcentral lists this non-coding RNA (48 nucleotides) under Schistosoma mansoni. The record is from RNAcentral. Lineage: Eukaryota; Metazoa; Platyhelminthes; Trematoda; Strigeidida; Schistosomatidae.